UGGGGAAUAUUGGACAAUGGACCGAGAGUCUGAUCCAGCAAUUCUGUGUGCACGAUGACGUUUUUCGGAAUGUAAAGUGCUUUCAGUUGGGAAGAAAAAAAUGACGGUACCAACAGAAGAAGUGACGGCUAAAUACGUGCCAGCAGCCGCGGUAAUACGUAUGUCACGAGCGUUAUCCGGAUUUAUUGGGCGUAAAGCGCGUCUAGGUGGUUAUGUAAGUCUGAUGUGAAAAUGCAGGGCUCAACUCUGUAUUGCGUUGGAAACUGUGUAACUAGAGUACUGGAGAGGUAAGCGGAACUACAAGUGUAGAGGUGAAAUUCGUAGAUAUUUGUAGGAAUGCCGAUGGGGAAGCCAGCUUACUGGACAGAUACUGACGCUGAAGCGCGAAAGCGUGGGUAGCAAACAGG
This 407-nucleotide ribosomal RNA is filed under the name Bacteroidota bacterium. RNAcentral's name for it is "Bacteroidetes bacterium partial 16S ribosomal RNA". It matches the Rfam family "Bacterial small subunit ribosomal RNA", at positions 355 to 776 of the family's 1533-position model. Lineage: Bacteria; Pseudomonadati; Bacteroidota. The record is from RNAcentral.